AUCCUCCAAGGCUAAAUACUCCUGACUGACCGAUAGUGAACCAGUACCGUGAGGGAAAGGCGAAAAGAACCCCGGCGAGGGGAGUGAAACAGAACCUGAAACCGUGUACGUACAAGCAGUGGGAGCCCCACCACUAAGCCAGUGGUGAACUCCACAUACGCAUCCUUUGCGGAAGAUGCGGUUAACGGCGCGAAAGCGACGUUCAACCUCAGAAGAAGCAGAGGGGGCUUAGUGGUGGGGUGACUGCGUACCUUUUGUAUAAUGGGUCAGCGACUUAUAUUCUGUAGCAAGGUUAACCGCAUAGGGGAGCCGAAGGGAAACCGAGUCUUAACCGGGCGUUAAGUUGCAGGGUAUAGACCCGAA
RNAcentral lists this ribosomal RNA (363 nucleotides) under Salmonella enterica subsp. diarizonae serovar Rough:r:z. Its description in RNAcentral is "bacterial LSU rRNA". It matches the Rfam family "Bacterial large subunit ribosomal RNA", at positions 455 to 719 of the family's 2925-position model. Lineage: Bacteria; Pseudomonadati; Pseudomonadota; Gammaproteobacteria; Enterobacterales; Enterobacteriaceae. The record is from RNAcentral.